UAGGGAGAAAACGAUUCGGGUACCUGCAGCUUCAGUCGGCAGAUGCAGGUGAAAGAGGGAACUUCGUGUAAUUCGAAGACGGGCCCGCCGCUGUGACCGGGGACUGCCCCUGAACGAUCGCCACUGUCAGCUCAUGAUGGGAAGGCUCGGGGAAGGAGAGAUCCGGAAGUCAGAAGACCUGCCUGAAUUGUAGGGUCAUG
RNAcentral lists this non-coding RNA (200 nucleotides) under Desulfobulbus sp. The record is from RNAcentral. Lineage: Bacteria; Pseudomonadati; Thermodesulfobacteriota; Desulfobulbia; Desulfobulbales; Desulfobulbaceae. RNAcentral also lists the same sequence under 1 other name.